GAGUAGGCCGGGUGAUCGCGGAUGCGGGAACAGAUCCUGCAUGCGAGGAAAGUCCGAGCUCCACAGGGCAGGGUGCUGGGUAAUUCCCAGUAAGGGUGACCUUCAGGAAAGUGCCACAGAAACAUACCGCCUUGACGUGCCUGGGGCCUGAGCUGUAGAGCCGAGCCCUGGGUCCGGAAAGGUAAGGGUGGAAUGGUGUGGUAAGAGCACACCGGCAGCCAGGUGACUGGCUGGCCAGGUAAACCCCACCCGGAGCAAGACCAAAUAGGAGGGGGAUGAAGCGGCCCGCUGAACCCUUGGGUUAGGUCGCUGGAGGAGCCGGGCAACCGGUUCCCGAGAUAGAUGAUCACCCACGACAGAACUCGGCUUACAGGCCUGCUCA
Molecule: RNase P RNA, 382 nt
Filed under: marine eukaryotic metagenome
Description: Bacterial RNase P class A
Rfam family: Bacterial RNase P class A
About the family: Ribonuclease P (RNase P) is a ubiquitous endoribonuclease, found in archaea, bacteria and eukarya as well as chloroplasts and mitochondria. Its best characterised activity is the generation of mature 5'-ends of tRNAs by cleaving the 5'-leader elements of precursor-tRNAs.
Source: RNAcentral